Molecule: unclassified non-coding RNA, 331 nt
Filed under: soil metagenome
Description: partial contains 5.8S ribosomal RNA, internal transcribed spacer 2, and large subunit ribosomal RNA
Rfam family: 5.8S ribosomal RNA (bases 1-120)
Source: RNAcentral
GAUGAAGAACGCAGCGAAAUGCGAUAAGUAAUGUGAAUUGCGGAAUUCAGUGAAUCAUCGAAUCUUUGAACGCACAUUGCGCCCCCUGGUAUUCCGGGGGGCAUGCCUGUUCGAGCGUCAUUUCACCACUCAAGCCUCGCUUGGUAUUGGGCAACGCGGUCCGCCGCGUGCCUCAAAUCGACCGGCUGGGUCUUCUGUCCCCAAAGCGUUGUGGAAACUAUUCGCUAAAGGGUGUUCGGGAGGCUACGCCGUAAAACAACCCCAUUUCUAAGGUUGACCUCGGAUCAGGUAGGGAUACCCGCUGAACUUAAGCAUAUCAAUAAGCGGAGGA